UUUUCGGAACGUCUUCUUCCCCGUUGGCCGGUAUUAUCUAUAAUUGCGAAAAAACUGACAAUGAACAGAGUUUUUUCUGGUUUAUGCUAAUCAUCAGCAAUCAUUUGGACGUAGGAGAGCAGGCUGCAAAGCGUGUUUUCGAAUUCAUCAAAGUAGAACCGUAUGAACGUAUGGGUCGGUUAUCUGAGCUGGUUCAAAACUGUCUCAUGCCAUCUUAUAUGUCUACCGUCCGCUCAUAUAAGAAGUAACAUUACUUCUUCAUCAGUCGCAUUUGUAAUGCAUACAUGAUUAAAAGAUUCCCAUGGGUACUCAUCGGAAGUGGUCGAGGAAUGGAAAUUCUGAGAAAUUCUUCAAAAGUUGGGAUCAAAUUAACUUUCUUUUUGCAUUCCAUUUAACAUAUAUCUCAAUUCUGGACGCAAUAUCGCUAUUAUGUAAAUCCUCUUUUUCUUCCCACCACCAAAAUUGCUGCCCUUACCAUCUAUGUACAUUGAACCGACUAAUCAACUCACUUUUCAGUGCUUUCGCGAAGUAUUCGCAUGAGCAGGAUUUUGUAGGUCAAAUGAUUAUGGCUCCUCUAUAUUAUCAAAAAAAUUCAACUUUGUUUAUGCUCCUACUCCGAGCCUGUUAGGAAACUCCGGGCACGGAGGGAAUUACCCUUCUUGCCCUUCCCGUCAGCGGUGGUGAUAGUAAAUCUCAAACUGGAGAGAAACUGGCAAGCGUUGCCUGUUAUUCUCUAGUGAACUAGACGUAAUAACAACCAGUUUUUUUACCUGUGUUAAGUUCCUAGAAAUUAGAUUACUGGGGAGACAGGCACCGAAAAAUGGAAGGAUAUUUUCCGACACUUUACUGUAAGAAAGAUGUUGUGCAGCAUCGCUAAGAAGCACGGAAAAAAAAUGAAGGAGCAAUGAAACUUCCCCUGCCAGUUAUUAUCAAUAUUGGGUCUGUUUGAUAUAAUGGAGAUUCGAGAUGAAUUUCCUGAAUAAAAAUUCUUAUACCCGGACUACUUAUGAAGAAACCCCGUUUUAGCGUUAGCAUCUUUUUGUGCUUUGAAGAUAGAAAUUUCUAAACUAUGCACCAUAUCAAACAGACCUAACAUUAUUCUAUAAAACAGAAAUAAACACAUACACAUAUUUUAAUUGCAUACUUUCAAGUCAAAGUAGACCUUUUAGAUUUUGUUAAAUGCCAACUUGGUUAAAUAAUUUUUGAGUGUUUAUCAAUAAUCAAAUAAGACCUAUAACAACAAAUUAUCCAAAAAGAAAAGAAAAAAAACGUUAUGAUGAUAAAUUCGUAGAAUUUUUCUAGAGAACAAAUAAAAAUGAUAAAAAAGGAUGAGAAAGGUUGAGCAAAAGAAUUUUGAAUAGUGAUGAUAAAAACUAUGAGGUAAUGUCUUAUCUGUAAGUCAAAUUCAGUAAAGUGAGAAGUGUUUAUUGAAUAAAAUACAAACAAAGAAUUAAUAAAAUGGAAUAUGUUAAAAUACUUCA
This is a long non-coding RNA of Hermetia illucens (black soldier fly), 1481 nucleotides long. RefSeq lists it as uncharacterized. Lineage: Eukaryota; Metazoa; Arthropoda; Insecta; Diptera; Stratiomyidae. The record is from RefSeq and is a predicted model, not a curated record. The transcript has 2 exons.